RNAcentral lists this long non-coding RNA (243 nucleotides) under Gossypium barbadense (sea-island cotton). RNAcentral's name for it is "long non-coding RNA (GBAR_LNC022911)". The record is from RNAcentral. Lineage: Eukaryota; Viridiplantae; Streptophyta; Magnoliopsida; Malvales; Malvaceae.
UGUGAGCGGCGCUAAAGUGAUUUUCCUUCCUUGAUGCUUGAAGGAAUACCUAUUGGUACGUUCAUCGUGAAUGACCUUGCGAUCCGAUUGCCAUGGUUCUCCUAGCAACAAAUGGCAGACUUGAAUAGGCACAACAUCACAAAGGACUUCGUCUUGGUAUCUUCCGAUGGAAAAUGCAACACGCACUUGUUGAGUAACUUCAAAUUUGCCUUCAACACCAAGUCCUUACAGUUGAUAGGGUCG